Molecule: non-coding RNA, 298 nt
Organism: Ruminococcus sp. CAG:9
Lineage: Bacteria; Bacillati; Bacillota; Clostridia; Eubacteriales; Oscillospiraceae
Source: Rfam
CAGUCGAUCUGCUGCGGACUGAUGAAAUGGAUAUGGGUAUCAAUUCCACCUGCAGUUACGAUCAUUCCCUCUCCUGCAAGUGCUUCUGUAGAUGCACCCACUGUCAUUCCGGGUGUCACACCAUCCAUGAUAUCCGGGUUUCCGGCUUUACCGAUUCCUGCUAUCUUGCCGUCUUUAAUACCGAUAUCUGCCUUUACGAUUCCUGUGGAGUCUACGAUCAAUGCAUUGGUAAUUACCAGAUCCAGAUCUCCGUCUUUGCUGCAGGUUUUUACAGACUGUCCCAUACCGUCACGGAUUG